AUACGGAGGGUGCGAGCGUUAAUCGGAAUUACUGGGCGUAAAGCGUACGUAGGCGGUUGGUUAAGUUAGAUGUGAAAGCCCCGGGCUUAACCUGGGAACUGCAUUUAAAACUGGCGAACUAGAGUUGAGUAGAGGGGAGUGGAAUUUCAGGUGUAGCGGUGAAAUGCGUAGAGAUCUGAAGGAACACCAGUGGCGAAGGCGACUCCCUGGACUCGAACUGACGCUGAGGUACGAAAGCGUGGGUAGCAAACGGGAUUAGAUACCCCUGUAGUCC
This 274-nucleotide ribosomal RNA is filed under the name uncultured bacterium. RNAcentral's name for it is "partial 16S ribosomal RNA". It matches the Rfam family "Bacterial small subunit ribosomal RNA", at positions 523 to 796 of the family's 1533-position model. The record is from RNAcentral.